UUGAGGUUGAAGAAAGCCUAAGCGCCAGCCUCGCCCCUGUUUCUGCAAGAUGCUCUCUCCCUACACAGACCCGGGGCCGGGCAGUGGAGGGUGACGAGCCUGAGGCCGGAAAGUCCCAAUUCGUGGGCAUUCUGGCCAAGGGCUCUCAGAUCUGUGGAUUGUCCUAAUCUUCACAGAGAUCACAUGAGGCACAGAUUUUUACCCCAUUUCACAGAUGAGCACGUUCUGUGCUCUCUGGACAACUCUGCAGCUCCUUCUGGUUCUGAAAGUAUGGUUUCAUGACAGGAGGUCAAAGGCCACACCUAAGCCUUAUGUCCAUUAUCACGUGACCUGGGGGGUUGCUCUAUUCCCACCCGGGGCCUCCAGUUCCCACAUGAGGAUAAUAAAGCUGGCUGCAUCAUCUCUACGGGCUUUUACACAGGCUAUCCAGAAAUAGGUUCAUCACGGGGGCUUAAUUUUGUCGUCACGGGGUUUGAUUAUGACUCGAAUCUUCCUUCACCCAAACUCAGCCUUCAGACUUUAUCGCUCACACCGCAGAAUCAAACCAUGCCAUCUCAAUUAAAAAACCAUAAAGAAGAAGAAGGAAGAAAACAGGGUCUCAGAGGAAUUCACCACAGGCUUUAUCCGGGAGGGGCUGUGCCAGAAAGCCUGAGAACGGGUUAAUGUGGCAGGGCGGGUCCGGGGACAGAUGGUAGAAGUCAAGAAGCCCAGCUCCGGUCUGGACGAUUGGCAGCGAGAACGCAGGCCGUGGCAUCGGCAGGCUCCAGUGUACGUGGUUUAUGGCCAGGUCCCACUUUAGCGUAACCGCAGCUGCUAUUAAGACCCUCAAAUGCACCAUCCGUGGUUCUGAACUCUGCGUAAUGACUGAACUCUGCCUUAUCAUCAGAGGGGAGGAGAAGAACAGCGUGGAAACCAAAGGGGCUGAAAUUUCAGCUGCUGCCAGGCAGCCGGGAGCUCCAGCACGCUCCCAGAAUAGCGCGGCUGGGUUCCCGGCAGCCUCCCGCUGCACCGCAGCUGGGCUUCCGGCAAGGGAGACAGAGUCAAGCCCCAAGUGGCGCAGGGGAGUGGGCAGGGUGGGAACAGCUGCGACCAGACACUGUUGAGCAGCCUGCCAGCAGGCCCUGCCCUGCUGGAGUGCCAACUCUGGCAUGUCCAGAUCCUUCCCUUACUUCCUCCCUCACAAAUAUUGAUUGAGGCCCUACUAUGGGCAAGGCACCAAGGGAGCCAAGAUGGAUCUUUCCUUCAAAGAGCUCACACCCAGGUUGGGGACACAAGACGACGUACACUAAUGAGGCAGAAAAGUGUGUAUAAAGCACUAUCCUAGGAACUGCGAGGAAGGAUAGACGUGAAAUCUGAGUCCAGUCCCCAUCAAGCCUAUCAGCAAUUAGAGAAUCAAGAUAUUUGUGGAUAAGGUAUAAGUAAUGACACAGAGCAUUGCUAGGCUAGCAAAUCUGCCUUAGAAGGGGAGCUCUAGGGGAGCAGAGGGAGGAUGACUGUGGGAUGGGGUCACCAGCGAAAAAUCCUGGGAGGAGCACAGGACUUUCCAAGGGGACUGAUCAGAGAGGCCCUGAGGGGGCUUCCCGGACUGAGAGUCGGGGGCAGUGUGAGCAAAGCCCCAGGAAGGCAAGUCCAGUGGCCAGACUGGGAGCUGACCUCUCAGGCUGGAGUGGCCAUUUCCUGUAGGAAAGAGGAGGGGGGUGAGGCUGGCGCCCGGGGUCGAGAGCUGGCUGGGGAGCUCUUGAAUGUUGAGCGCGCAAGCUUAUCUUUCCCUGCAAGGCGGUGGGAGCCCAUGAGCCAGGGGUGAAAUCAGAGAAUGCCCCCCUGAUGGAAGGGGGUUUGCAGGGUGACUGGAGUGCUGGGGGGGGGUGGCGGUGAGAGGAAGACUGUAAGUGAGGUGAUCAGUUUGGGGCCAUGCGGCCACUGGAGUAAAGUAAAGGGUACCCCAUCCCUGAAAUGCUCUUAGAUGGGAGUGAGAUCCUCCCUCCCCUGAAGGUAAGGGGGAACUAGACACAGCAUCGUGUAUACAUUUCUUUCUCGUUUUUGGAAGGGGUGAGAAGGUGGAGGGGCCCGACUCCUUGGACCACCUGCUUUGACCCUGGUUCCUAGAUCCACUGUGCACUGAUGGACACUCUCCAGACCUGGGCAGCUCAGAAAAUCCAGUUCUCUCCUCCACAGGGAGUUGAUUAGUGGCCACUGAGCCAUGGACGGGGCGGGGGGGGUUGUGCGGUGGGGAGAACAGAUUUGUGCCCACUGUAGAUGGGCUUGGCAGCAGGAGACAUUCCAGCAGGCUCUGCCCAAGGCCCGUUUCCGGGUCCAUUUCCAGAGGGAUCAUCCAUGGGCAGCCAGUUGUGGUGAAUUAGUGUUUAACUUGCCCGCUCCCAGACCCCUGGCUUCUUGCUUCUUAAGGUGACACCUAGGGACCCGAGUCCUUAAAAAACAAAAACCGGGGGGUACCUACUGGUCUCAGUGUCAGUCCUAUAAACCCAAGAGAAAAAAGAGGCAUAGCCAGACACUGUCGGCUGGGUAGUAUUCAGUUAAUAUGGAGUCUGGGAGCAAGGAAAAGUCAAAUGCAAAAUCUGUUUACCAGCCAGUGGUAGGGCCCUCAGCUGCCUGGCACAGGAUUCCAGGUACCUACCUGUCAGGGAGCCAAGAGCCCUCACCCUCAGCUCCAGGAGGGACUGUUCUCGCUUCACUGCGGCCAGGCCCCAAGAUCAAGGGCACUCAACCCCUGUGGGGGUGAGAGGGAAGCCCUCCCCCUCCUCAGAGAAGGCAAUGGCUCCUGAGAGUGAAGCCACCCGCUGAAACUGCAAUGCAGGACUCCUGCUACCCAGGCAAAAGGCAGUCCCUCUAGGGAGCAAAACUGACCUCUAGCCUCCUGACCCCUGUGCCCCAACCAGGUGGCCAAGUUCCUCUACCGGGACUCUGAAUGGAGGGCAUUGUUGGUCCAGGGGCAGUGGACUUCUCCAAAAGGCACUGGGGGUAGUGGGCUUCCCAGGAAGGUCUCCGGGCCGUGUGCGGGGCAGGUGUGGUGGGCAGUGGGGCAGAUGCCCAAGGCUUGCAAGGUUGCAAGGCCCGUGGUGGGAGUGAAGGUAGUGGCAGACCACUGUCCAGGGGCUGCACCCCUCCGCUACUCUUACUGCCACCGGCCUAACCACAGAACAAUGGAGCCACCACGUGAUUGGCUCUGUGCCAGAUGCCGGGGACCACAAGAUGCGUGAGCCAUGCCCUUAUCUUGAGAACGGCACAGUCCGAUUGUGGAGACAACGGUGGACGGGACUGAUGAAGAUACACUGAGAUAUGAUAAGUAAACAAACCCAUAAAAAGCUGUGGGUAAAGCAAGUCCAAGUUCUUUCUGGGGAAGGUGAGGAAAGCUUCACAGAGGGACACUGGGGCUGAGCUUUGAGGCAGGGCUGAUUCUGUAAAAAUUUUGGUCAGAAAAAGGGAGGGAGGUAUGGGGCGCCUGGGUGGCUCAGUGGGUUAAGCCGCUGCCUUCGGCUCAGGUCAUGAUCCCAGGGUCCUGGGAUCGAGCCUCGAAUCGGGCUCUCUGCUCAGCAGGGAGCCUGCUUCCUCCUCUCUCUCUGCCUGCCUCUCUGCCUGUUUGUGAUCUCUCUCUGUC
Mustela lutreola (European mink) is the source of this 3616-nucleotide long non-coding RNA. RefSeq lists it as uncharacterized. The record is from RefSeq and is a predicted model, not a curated record. Lineage: Eukaryota; Metazoa; Chordata; Mammalia; Carnivora; Mustelidae. The transcript has 3 exons.